GUCUUGCGAGUCUUGCAAUUUUUUUCCGCUUUCCCCCCCUUUUUCUAAGCCGCUAAUAGCCUUUUAGCCGCUAAGCCUUUAAUAGCCGCUAAACCGCUAAUAGCGCUAAUCCGCUAAGCCGCUAAUAGGGUUGCUUCGCAAGACGAAAAAACCGCUAGACGAAGAGACUCGCGGAACGGAUUAAUUUCGUCUUGCGAGGCACCACUGUACUGAACUCAAGCAUAGAGCUGCUAAAAACAUAGCAGCAGGGAAGUGCUGUUGAGAUAUUAAGCUUGACUAGGAAAUAUCCAGCUGUGUAAGAGGCACGGUUCUUCCUGCACUGAUGCUGUCCCCAACACCCCCUUUUGUUUCAGCCCCACGUUCUCUGUUCUUAGAAUCAUAGAAUUGUAGAGUUGGAAGGGACCCCAAGAGUCAUCUAGUCCAAACCCCUGCAAUUAAGGAAAUUCAGCUAAAGCAUCCAUGAUAGAUGGCUAUCCAACCUCUGCUGAAAAAUCUCCAAGGAAGGAGAGUCCACAACCUCCCAAGGGAGACUGUUCCACUGUUGAACAGCUCUUACUGUCAGAAAGUUCUUCCUCAUGUUUAGUCAGAAUAUCCUUUCUUGGAGCUUGAAGCCAUUGGUUCAAGUCCUAACUUUCAGAGCAGGAGAAGACAAGCUUGCUCCAUCUUUCAUGUGACAGCCCUUGAGAUAUUUGAAGAUGGCUAUCCUAUCUCUUCUCAGUCUCUUCGAGGCUAAACAUAUCCAGCUCCUUCAGCUGUUCCUCAUAAGGCCUUCUUGACCUUCCCAUGUUGAGUAGGACCCACUGCGCAAUUGGAAACCCUGAUAAAGUAGCAUCUCUAGUUGUGCAGAGGUGUUCAAAUGAAAAUGGACAGAACCCCCCUUCAGACCUUUGAUCAGGAAGGCUAAAGACGUGUGGGGAAGUGUGGGCAUGGUGUAUGCAGCCACAGGCCUCUUAGUUAUUAGUAGAUCUCUGUCCACACACAUUCUAAUACUGGUCUUGCCCCAUAUCGACUGCAAACAAUGCCUUCUGCAAUAUCUAAGUGAAAUUUCAAUGGCUUGGCUAAAGGAUGAGGGAGUACAGAUUGGCUUCUCUUCUUAGAAGCUUUGCAAUGUAUGUCUCCAUCUGUUUUGAUAAAAAAGGUAGUAAAACAAGUUCCAUCUUGAUGCUUUCAGAUCUCUCAAUUGUGCAUAAAGUAAUUGAUUUUAGAACUUGGGCUCCCUUAUGUUUGGUACAAAAAAUGAGGCCAAUUUUCUAAGACGUCUAGGAGGUGUAUGGUAUUUAGAAGUAUCAGAUGAAUAGCUUUGCCAGGCUCCUUUAUUUAAAGAGCUAUAAUUAUAUAGGAGCAGAAAUUUUGAUUUGAAAGCAGCUCAAAAUGAUGAUUAACCUCAAAAAGCAUAACACAGUUGCUACCUUGGCGAAAGCCUGGAGGCUGGUCAAAAUGUUAUUACUGUUUUCUUCUGUUAUUUGGUCUUCUUCCCAGAACUACAUAGGACAGUUUUUAUGUUGGCACAUUCUGUUUCCGUGUUGUUCCAUCAUACUUUCCCCCCUAUACUUUCUGUGAAUUAGUAACUAAAUACUAUUGAUGGUGGGUUGUUUGGAGGUUGUUGUUUUUUGCUCCUGGUGAGUUUGCAAAUUAUUUUGUGUUCCUUAAUCAGUAUUAAUCUCCAGUUAAUCAGAAAUGGAGAUAGUAUUGAUCAUGCUAGCAUACCCCAGGAAAUCUAACCCAUUUUGAAACAUAAAGUUAACCACGUCAGCUUUACCGUUGGCAUCAGAGUGCCGCAGGAAAGAGCUGGGAACCUGGGCUGCAUUGCCAACUGCCAGGGAUCAGAAGAGAUUGGCACAAAUACCAACAUAGCCCUUAUUUUAUGUUGUACAUUUGUGUGUAGAUUAAUUGUAAGCUGCAUAUUGGGAGCCAACGUCAGCUGAAGUGUGGGGGUGGCAUAAAUAUAAGCCACAUCAUUUUGAGGGGAACAGGAUACAGGGAGGCAGGAAAAACAGGCAAGCUGAAGGCCACCUUGCCCAUGCUGAUUAAUCCUUCUGAUGGGAAAAGGGGUGCAGUCAGGGUGGCUCUCUGUAGAGCUCCUCUGCUCAUGCUGGGUGCCUUCUGGAUCAAGCUGAGGAGGUGUGGCGAUAUCUGCUCCAUGGAUUCCGGUUUGGCGUUUGGCAACGCCACUGCAAGCUCCUCUUCCAAAGCUGCAUGCUUCCCAGCUAAGCGAUGGGGUAGCGGAGGCAUUGAUUGUUUCCUCGUAGCCACCUGUAAAGAAUCUCUAAGGGCCCCUCCAGACUCUGUUCUGCAACGUGACAUUGAUCCAAUAAUAGUUCCUUAGUGGUGGAUUUACAUUGCUUUAUUCUAUUUUUUUUAUUACUGCAUUUGUAUCAUACCCUUUUAUCCAAGGAGCUCAUUUAAUUCCCUCUUCCUCAUUUAAUUCCCACAAAAGCCCUGUGGGGUCAUUUUGGAUGAAAGGCAGUGGGUGGCCCAAGGUCACCCAGUUGCUUUGCAAUGCUUACUCAAUGUCACCACGUUAUUAGUAUAGGAUAUAUCUAAUCUCAUAUACAAAAAAUACUUAACUCUAACUAACGCAUGAAGGGGUUAAGACCAUAGAGUAAGCUGUCCUGCCUGGCUUAGCUAGAUCAUACCCCCUCACCUUGGGAGGAAGAGCUAGCAAACCCUUUGUUCUCCCGCUUUCCACUAUUCUUUUUCACCAUGUGACACCUACCAGUAAGGCUAUUGAAGCUGGAUGCUCCAAGCCACCUUUCUGUUUCUAUACAUAUAAUUUAGAAGCAUUUACCAUUUACCAACAUUUUGAAACUAAAUUGUACUGCUUGUCUUUUCUUUCUGCUGUAUGGAAAAGUACAUGAAUCAACUCUUUGCAGAGUUUGUAAGUAAAACAUUUUUAACUUGUCAAACAUGUGGUCUCUUUCUAUGCUAAGGGAAGUGGGAGCUUUGGAAGCAACAUAGAAGGGAAUAUUUUAAAGGUCUAACAGCCUAUGAUUCUACGCUUUAUUUUGCUAUUUUAAAUAUCUGCUGGGGCUCUCUCACCAAAAAAUACUUGCCCCAAAUUUGGAUCUAGGCACCCAGGACAUUCUCCUUUUAUUGUAUCAAAUAUUUCCCUUUAACCAAAAUAUUAAAAACCAACAAUUGCUAUCUGGAGGGGGGCACUAUUGUGCUAUAGUGCAACAAGCGUGAGACAAAAACAAACUCUUAACACUUGCAAAAUACGGGAUUUCAGCAGGAAGCUACAGGAUACAAAACUCAUUGGAAAUGAAGCAGUAUAUCCACCAUGAAACUUGCAGGAGCAAAGAGUGUUGAAAGUGGGAUCACGUAUAACUGCAUAUAACUGCCCCAAUACCAUCAUGAGCACAAAUCAUCAUAAAUACACAAUAAACAGAAUGUCUGGAGGGGCCCAGACAGGAGCAAAAAGAAAGGGUAAAAAAGGGGGGUCCUCUUUAGUUUGACUUCUUUCUGUGCCACCACAAUUCUCCACCCAUAGGACCUCAGUACUAUUCAAAAUGUAAGCACAUUUCUUCAGAAAAGAACAGCGGCUGUAAUCAGGAUACUGCAAACUUCUGCACUGUUCUGAGACCUUGUGAAAACAUUUUAGAAGUGUUUCUCUCCUGCCAGCGGCAAAACAUGUUUACUGCCUUACAUAACCCUUUGACAAAAUAGGGUUUUUUUACUUGUGUGAACCGGACCAUAGCAUUUGUGAUGAUGAAGUUCAGAAAGCUAAUGAGAAACGAGGCUUAAUUGCGAUGUGGGUUUGUCAUCAUCUUGUGGCUAAGGGAGUGGGGGUGGAAUCUCUUAAUUCCUCCUAUCAUGUUCUGCAUAUAGGCUGACUAUUUUAGAGGGGAAUACAGAAAUUCCAGAGACCUGCAGCAAAAGAGUUGGCUGAUUAGUUUAAAUUAAUGUAUGAAAGCCAACCCACCUUCACUGCUGCUUCUCACUUCUUGACCUCUUAAGCGUUGCCAGGUAACAGAGCUGCAGUGACUGGAAGCCAGAGUUAAGCAGGCAAGUGCGGCAGCCAUGCCAGGGUCUGGACAAAUUCUGUAUCUAGCCAUCCUAGUUUUAUGGUUCACACUGUGCCCCUCCUGAUGCUUCAUUUAUAGCACUAUAGUUCUCUAUGUCCCAGGGUGGUCACACUUUUUCUGUCCACACCAGUGACUGGAUGCAUUCAGAUUGCAUUGUCUCCUUCCACCAACCAGUAAACGAUCAUGUUAUGAGCAUGCACACAUGUCACCGAUCACCCUUUUGUGUUUGGUAUAGAACUCCUGGUAUUCCAAAAUUCUGUUUGUGGGAGAUUUGGUGGCAGGAACUACUCGUGUUCACUGUGUCGGUGUGAGCUGUCCACACAUUUGAGAGACUGCAGUGGCAGGCUUCUGUCAAGAGACGCAUAGAAAUGCCAUGAAACCGAAGUCACUUAACAUUCCCCACCCCCACCACACACAAAAGUGGGAAAGUGUGCAAAACUUUGCACACCAUGAAAAUACUGCGGAACUGUAUUUCAGAAAUGUUGGGAUUUGUGUGAUAGAAAAAAAAAGUGAAUUGAAGGCAAUAUUGUAGAAUAGCAAUGGAAUGAUAGCUUGUAUUGCUAGAAGAUGCAGAUGAUCAACAGUGGAUUCUCCUGCAAUAGCACUGGUAUAUAUCAUCUGAGGCAUCUAGAUAUUACAGGUAAUACAGGGCCAGACAGGUCACUUGCCUCAUACAGAACAAUAGUGCAAUGUUCUUAAAACUAAAUAGAAGACAAAGAGAUUUAGCAACUCAACCCAUUUCACAGUGUUUUUCUGACACUGCAGUGAUUUUUAAAUAAGUAGCC
RNAcentral lists this long non-coding RNA (4810 nucleotides) under Podarcis lilfordi (Lilford's wall lizard). The record is from RNAcentral. Lineage: Eukaryota; Metazoa; Chordata; Lepidosauria; Squamata; Lacertidae.